AGCUUGAUAAAUCUUCAGCUGAUCAGCUCUUUUCACCUAUUUGCAGUAGAUAAUAAUAUCCAGAGAAAUUGACAGCAAUAUUGAGAGGUUUGCAGCAGCAAAGAGAUUGGAUCAACUGUAGUAAAAGACAUACCUGGUGAAAAUGAGAAAAAAAGAGAGGGAGUGAAGUCAAACGCCUCCUGUACAUCUCUGAUCCUCCUAUUCCUUUUCUUUUUGGGAAAAAUUUGCUCUCCUGGAUUUGGAUUUCAGUGUUGAAAAAGCACGUCCAGUGAAGUGAAUGAGUCACAUAAACAAUACCUGUGCGCACGUUAGAGUCCCAUAAACGCUGCAACAGUUGUCGGGACCGUUUCCAAAUCGGGUUUGGGUCUCUCCGCUUCUUCAAUGAUUUUUUGAGUUUAGACUUUAGACCUAAGGCCCUAGAGUUAUAAUCGUAACCGAUUGAAUCAAAAUCAGCCUUAGGAUGUCUAGUGUC
RNAcentral lists this long non-coding RNA (472 nucleotides) under Nicotiana tabacum (common tobacco). RNAcentral describes it as "long non-coding RNA (NTAB_LNC011580)". Lineage: Eukaryota; Viridiplantae; Streptophyta; Magnoliopsida; Solanales; Solanaceae. The record is from RNAcentral.